RNAcentral lists this ribosomal RNA (403 nucleotides) under uncultured bacterium. RNAcentral describes it as "partial 16S ribosomal RNA". It matches the Rfam family "Bacterial small subunit ribosomal RNA", at positions 30 to 526 of the family's 1533-position model. The record is from RNAcentral.
AUCGAACGCUGGCGGCAGGCCUAACACAUGCAAGUCGAGCGAGCGGCGGACGGGUGAGGAAUGUAUGGGGACUGCCCGUUAGAGGGGGAUAACUACUGGAAACGGUAGCGAAUACCGCAUACUAUCGGAUAACCCAUAUGGGAUUAGCUAGUAGGUGAGGUAAUGGCCCACCUAGGCGACGAUCCCUAGCUGUUCUGAGAGGAUGAUCAGCCACACUGGGACUGAGACACGGCCCAGACUCCUACGGAGGCAGCAGUAGGGAAUCUUGCGCAAUGGGCGCAAGCCUGAUGCAGCCAUGCCGCGUGUAUGAAGAAGGCCCUCGGGUUGUAAAGUUCUUUCAGUCGGGAAGCGUUACCGACAGAAGAAGCCCCGGCUAACUCCGUGCCAGCAGCCGCGGUAAUUC